This 598-nucleotide unclassified non-coding RNA is filed under the name Hevea brasiliensis (rubber tree). The record is from RNAcentral. Lineage: Eukaryota; Viridiplantae; Streptophyta; Magnoliopsida; Malpighiales; Euphorbiaceae.
CUCUGAAAACAUGAAUGAUGAGUUGACUAUAAAGAAACUAUAGACCCCAUACACGAAAUGAAUUUGUAGACUUGGAGACAUUUAUUCAUUGCUUUUAACCUGGAGAGCGUCCUCUAUGUGCUUUGCCAUAGCUUGUAUACAAGAAUCAUACAAAGAAACUAUAUGGUCAAUAGUCUGUCCUUCAAUUGGUUUCAGAGUGAAGGACCAGACUACUUCACACCCUUCUUGCUCUUGGCUUCCAAGAGGCAAUAAUUUGAUUGUAGCCAUAUGCGAUUUAAACCCUAUACUGUUUUCCUGGAGCGAGUAGCUCAAACACCUUCGAUCGGGGUCAAUGGCAAGCAGCUUCUCAUUUGCCCAUAUUGUUGUCAUUUCUCCUGAACCAUCAUCAGAGAUGGAUGUCUUGGCACAGUAUCUGAUGCAGCCUGGCUGACCUGAGAUGCCUUCAAUUCCAUAACAUGUAUCUAUUGUUCCUGGAAGACACUUGCCGAAGUUGAAGAAGUCCUCCAAGAGAGGCCAUAUCUGAUCGGCCCUGCAGCUGGUUAGCUUGGCACUAACUGCGCCUUCCCACAUUUUUUCUGCAUCAUAAUCGGCCAUGUCC